This is a non-coding RNA of Pelobates cultripes (western spadefoot toad), 163 nucleotides long. The record is from the annotation of a GenBank genome assembly. Lineage: Eukaryota; Metazoa; Chordata; Amphibia; Anura; Pelobatidae.
ACGGACUAAUCAUUCCAGCCAAUCAGCAGCAGACCCUCCCUCCCAGACCCUCCUGCCUCCUGGACAGCAUCCAUUUUGAAGCUACAUUCUUAGUGAGCUGUCCAGGAGGUGGGAGGGUCUGGGAGGGAGGGUCUGCUGCUGAUUGGCUGGAAUGAUGAGUCCG